Molecule: long non-coding RNA, 902 nt
Organism: Eleginops maclovinus (Patagonian blennie)
Lineage: Eukaryota; Metazoa; Chordata; Actinopteri; Perciformes; Eleginopidae
Exons: 3
Source: RefSeq, a predicted model, not a curated record
CUUUGGGUUUGUUUUGAUUACGCUGACCGUCCGGCAGACGGCGCGUGUUUCCUGCCACGCGUUCACUUUACAUCAGACCUGAAGACAGCAACACCGAGUCAUAUUUCAUCAUCACAGAUCAAGAUGCUACCUCAUCCGCUGAUCCUUUUGAGCACCUGGGCGGCUGGAAGGCAGAGUCACCAUCUGUUUAAAAAGAAGGUUCGUUUUGGCCGCUUUAACAACAACAAGGCAGAUCUCAAACAAAAAAGUAAAAGGUUCUUGUCAGAAGUGGGAUUCGAACCCACGCCUCCAGGGGAGACUGCGACCUGAACGCAGCGCCUUAGACCGCUCGGCCAUCCUGACUGAUGGGCAUUAACACUCUAUUGUUGCAAUUUAAACCAUGAAUUAAGACUAUAAUCAUCAGGAUUUGAUAACUCUCUCAGGUCAAAUGAAUGUGUCUUAUUGAUCGACAUGGUGAUCUGUGUAAUAGUUCUUGAACUGUAGUGUUAUUAUUAUUCUUAAAACGAAUUUAUAUCCAUUUGGAAAAGCAGACAAAUACAGUCAGGAUGGUCGAGCGGUCUAAGGCGCUGCGUCCGUUAUCUUUACAUCACCGUGAACUCCACCCACCUCCGGUAAAACAACAACUCCCCUUCAACAUGUCUCGUCUGUGAUUGGUCAAAAAUGUUGAAGGCGGAGAAGAUGAUUGCUGGGGGUAAGAUGCAGAAUGUUGAAGCUGUUAAUGUGACUGGCUAAUUAAUGUUGAAGCCGCGAAUGCCAUUGGCCGAUAUUCUCAACAUUCUCCAACAUUCCCAAAUGUUGAACGGACGCAGCUGGACGGCAGAGUCACCAUCUGUUUAAAAAGAAGGUAAAACAAUUUGGAAAAAAUGAUUAAAACACAUGCUAAUUGCAACGUUGGAAAGCCA